UCCUACGGGAGGCAGCAGUAACGAAUAUUCCGCAAUGCGCGAAAGCGUGACGGAGCAAUGCCGCGUGCAGGAUGAAGGUCUUCGGAUUGUAAACUGCUGUCAGGGUCCAGGAAGAUCUGACCAGACCCAAAGGAAGGGCCGGCUAACUUCGUGCCAGCAGCCGCGGUAAUACGAAGGGCCCGAGCGUUAAUCGGAAUCACUGGGCUUAAAGCGUGCGCAGGCGGAUCAGUAAGUACUUUGUGAAAUCCCACGGCUCAACCGUGGAACUGCUUGGUAUACUGCUGAUCUUGAGCGUGGUAGGGGCGGUCGGAACGCUAGGUGGAGCGGUGAAAUGCGUAGAUAUCUAGCGGAACGCCGAAGGUGAAGACAGGCCGCUGGGCCACUGCUGACGCUCAGGCACGAAAGCGUGGGGAGCGAACGGGAUUAGAUACCCCGGUAGUCCACGCCCUAAACGAUGUGCACUAGAUCGAGGAGGUUUUGACGCCAUCUCGGUCGAAGGAAAACUACUAAGUGCACCGCCUGGGGAGUACGGUCGCAAGGCUAAAACUCAAAUGAAUUGACGGA
This 564-nucleotide ribosomal RNA is filed under the name uncultured bacterium. Its description in RNAcentral is "bacterial SSU rRNA". It matches the Rfam family "Bacterial small subunit ribosomal RNA", at positions 337 to 917 of the family's 1533-position model. The record is from RNAcentral.